UAAGGAAUAUUGGUCAAUGGGCGCAAGCCUGAACCAGCCAUGCCGCGUGCAGGAAGACGGCCCUAUGGGUUGUAAACUGCUUUUGUCAGGGAAUAAACCCCCGCUCGUGAGCGGGGCUGAAGGUACCUGAAGAAUAAGCAUCGGCUAACUCCGUGCCAGCAGCCGCGGUAAUACGGAGGAUGCAAGCGUUAUCCGGAUUCAUUGGGUUUAAAGGGUGCGCAGGCGGAUUGGUAAGUCAGGGGUGAAAUCCCACAGCUCAACUGUGGAACUGCCUUUGAUACUGUCAGUCUAGAGUAUAGUUGAAGUUGGCGGAAUGUGUCAUGUAGCGGUGAAAUGCUUAGAUAUGACACAGAACACCGAUCGCGAAGGCAGCUAGCUAAGCUAUAACUGACGCUCAUGCAC
RNAcentral lists this ribosomal RNA (402 nucleotides) under uncultured bacterium. RNAcentral describes it as "bacterial SSU rRNA". It matches the Rfam family "Bacterial small subunit ribosomal RNA", at positions 355 to 754 of the family's 1533-position model. The record is from RNAcentral.